This 418-nucleotide long non-coding RNA is filed under the name Brassica rapa (field mustard). Its description in RNAcentral is "long non-coding RNA (BRAP_LNC004916)". The record is from RNAcentral. Lineage: Eukaryota; Viridiplantae; Streptophyta; Magnoliopsida; Brassicales; Brassicaceae.
UAAUGACGUUUUUAUGAGUUUAGCAUGUACACAUAUUUCACAUUUUUUCUACUUAUUUUUUAUUUUAUUUUGGGAUUAGAUUUAGAUUCAUUAAUUUUUUUUUUAUUGAUUUGUAGUUAACAUGGCAUAAUCGUUCAUGCUAUAUAUUAAAAGACUCAACCAAAUAUGUAACUAGUUUCUUCUUAUUUCUUGAAACUUAUGGAGUUAUAACUUUCGGAUGGACUGUCAUUAUAUUCAUCUUGACGAGUCAAUCUUUAACAUACUCCUUACCCAAAUAAACUCCAUUCUUUCGAAUCAUGAGUUUGUCAGCUACAAGAGUCAUGGAAAAUCCAUUCUUACUGAAAAAGGUUCUCAAAACAAGGUUCUUCCUCAUGUUAGGCAUGUGCUUCACGUUCUCCACAGUGACUUCAAGUCUAUA